Molecule: transfer RNA, 92 nt
Filed under: Swingsia samuiensis
Lineage: Bacteria; Pseudomonadati; Pseudomonadota; Alphaproteobacteria; Acetobacterales; Acetobacteraceae
Description: tRNA-Ser
Rfam family: tRNA
About the family: Transfer RNA (tRNA) molecules are approximately 80 nucleotides in length.
Source: RNAcentral
GGAGGGGUGGCCGAGUGGCUGAAGGCGGCGGUUUGCUAAACCGUUGUACGGGUCAUACCGUACCGUGGGUUCGAAUCCCAUCCCCUCCGCCA